CGAUUGAUUCGAAAUAGAAACUGGUUAAGAUAUGAAGCAGAAAUAACAGAUCAAUAGCUGAAAAAGUAGUAAUGAACAAGUAACACGUACAACAUAUUUCUGUUAUGUGAAAUGUUCAUUUGACAGACUCAUACACAUUCUUUAUUGUUUAAUGUUUAGCUCAUGUGUAAUGUUACAUAUUUACCUAUAGGGUGUAUUGAUUAGGCAGUGAAUAAUAAUGCCCCAGUUUGGUAUGAUUCGGUAUGGUUUGCUAUUCCACUUUACCAUCCCAACUCGUAUCAUAGUUUAAUAUUUUAGACUACUUUCUAGAACAGAAUAUUUUCAUAAAUCUCCAUGAUUAGGUUAAUUGUACUGAAAUUUUAAGUCAAAUAUCUGAAAUAAAAACACAGUUAACUCCGUUGUUUUUUUUUUUUUUU
Molecule: non-coding RNA, 416 nt
Organism: Pelobates cultripes (western spadefoot toad)
Lineage: Eukaryota; Metazoa; Chordata; Amphibia; Anura; Pelobatidae
Source: the annotation of a GenBank genome assembly